CCUACGGGAGGCAGCAGUGAGGAAUAUUGGUCAAUGGACGAGAGUCUGAACCAGCCAAGUAGCGUGAAGGAUGACUGCCCUAUGGGUUGUAAACUUCUUUUAUAUGGGAAUAAAACGUUCCACGUGUGGGAUUUUGUAUGUACCAUAUGAAUAAGGAUCGGCUAACUCCGUGCCAGCAGCCGCGGUAAUACGGAGGAUCCGAGCGUUACCCGGAUUUAUUGGGUUUAAAGGGAGCGUAGGUGGAUUGUUAAGUCAGUUGUGAAAGUUUGCGGCUCAACCGUAAAAUUGCAGUUGAAACUGGCAGUCUUGAGUACAGUAGAGGUGGGCGGAAUUCGUGGUGUAGCGGUGAAAUGCUUAGAUAUCACGAAGAACUCCGAUUGCGAAGGCAGUUCACUGGACUGCAACUGACACUGAGGCUCGAAAGUGUGGGUAUCAAACAGGAUUAGAUACCCUUGUAGUC
Molecule: ribosomal RNA, 460 nt
Filed under: uncultured bacterium
Lineage: Bacteria
Description: partial 16S ribosomal RNA
Rfam family: Bacterial small subunit ribosomal RNA
Source: RNAcentral